This 217-nucleotide non-coding RNA is filed under the name Devosia sp. Root413D1. RNAcentral also lists the same sequence under 1 other name. The record is from RNAcentral. Lineage: Bacteria; Pseudomonadati; Pseudomonadota; Alphaproteobacteria; Hyphomicrobiales; Devosiaceae.
CUCUAUGCGCCGGUUCAAGGUUCCUCGGCGGCCGCCAAGCCAACGGGGAUUAAAAGGGAACACGGUGCGACGUACCCAUCAGGGCGCAAAACCGUGGCUGCCCCCGCAACUGUAAGCGGCGAGCUCUUCCGUAGACACCACUGACCCGACGGGUUGGGAAGGUUCGGAGGCGCUGUGACCCGCGAGCCAGGAGACCUGCCUCGACAGCUCACUGUAA